AACCUUAAGCUCUCAGUGUCGGCAGUAUGAACACAAACCAGAACACACUAAACUUUUCCCGAGGCAGAGUCCAGUCGACGACUUUAUGACAAUCUUCCUGGAUGGAGUUUGCCUAAUACCUUCCAGUUGGUCAUGAGACAGUCAGGGGACUGAAAAUGUGUCACUUGAUUAAGUUUUUCAGGCUGAUAACAAGAAGGCUACUGUGUUAUGACAAAUUUGCUACCUUCUAUAACCGAGCAACGUGUUGAAUCUUGGGGAAUACUACAAAAUAUGGAUCAACAUGGGCCCUUCUCCACUUGACGCACACUAAGCCACUGCUGUGAACUUUGAGUUUGAUCUCAGCUCUCUCAAAAGUCACUAAUCAUUCCUUCAACAAAAAACACAACAAGCACUCGGACAUCACACUGCACAGAUGUAAUUUGGAAUAGGAGGAGGUCAUACUGGAGGAGGUUGACCCUUCAGCCAAUAUUUCUGGUAUUCUUAUAAGGAAAUGUGUAUCUAAAGACACGAGUGCUAAAACCACAGUGUGACAGCACAGGCAAGGACUGUUAUGCACUCCCAAACCAAAGCACACCAAAAAUUACUGGUGAACCACAAGAGGAUAAAGAAGAGUUUCCCUCCAGAUUGCAGAAGUGGCCUGGAGCUUCCAACAACUCUACACAGCCUCAAGAAUUAUAGAGCGCUAUAGUUUUCAGUUCGCUAUAGAAGUACUACUGCUUACUAUAUGUCCUUAAAAUCCUCCGGUCCACUGAGCCCUGCACUGUAUUUUUUCUAACAACCAUACUACAGUCUCAACAAAAUACUUUCCAGUUCUUAAUAUGCUGAGGUUCCUUGAGAUACCUGAAAAAUCUCAUAGUCUUAUAACCACGUAUAUGUUAGCGCUUCUCAAAUUCAUAACCAUAGUUUGAACCUUUCUACGGUUCCCGACAUCAACCAAUGAACUAUAUGUCUAUAUAGCAGAGCAAAGCUCAAUCAUCCUCAGAGGGCUUAUCCAAUCUGAGUAAUGGCCUUCCUUCCAUUUAUUUCUCUAAAGGUAAUGCAAAGAGUUCUACAGUAAGAGUUCCUCCAAUUUUACAGUAUUUCUUAAAGAAGAAAUAUAUGUGUGGAUCCUUGUCAUAAACACAGGUUAGAGAUCUUGAAAAUGCUGGUGUAGUAAUCAUGCUUUCUCCUUUCUCUUCCUCUAUUCUUCAGGUGUGGUGAUGUAUCUGAUGGUUUCUGCAAGUCAGAGUUGCUUUUGAAUGAGCCCUAGUAUAGGAUCCAUUUCACUUUGGCUCUAGGACACACACAGCAGACCCCCCUUGUCCGCUGGCUCUUACAAUCUCUACGACUCUCUUUCAAGAUUAUCCCUGAGCCCUGGGUACAUGGAGUGUGUUGCAGGUGUAUUCACACCACCACAAAAUAGACACUCUACUUGGUGAGGGCUGAGAGCUUCAUUAUCUGUGGGUAUAAGGUGAGUAUGUCGAAUGUAGUUAGGAAUAAUGCUGGCAAACUAAAUUACUAGUAGUUGGGUCUUUCCUAAGAUGCACGAUCUAACUCACUCUGGUAUUUGCCUAGGUUUUCAGUAUCAGGCAUGCUCCCCGUCCCCAAUUAGUGGGCCUUAGCCCAGUUAGAGAGUGGUUGGUUACACCAAAAUAUGAGUGCCACUCAUAUUUAUGAAUAUUUUACCAUGAUGUUCAUCAUUGUGUUUCAUAGGUGUCGUACCUGUGUACAUCUAUUGACUGCUUUUCUCCUUUAGCAGUUUUUAUAGCAUCUUUCUGGAACCAUACAAAGUAGUCCUCAGGGAAGAGGUUUUCAAAUUAGAUGCAAUUUAGAUCGUUUGAGUCCUGUCUGAGUACACGGUGUCUCCAAUAACAGAGAUGUAUCUUCAGCUUCUGGUAGGGAACAGCCACAGCACUUACUAUUUUGGUAAUCUCUUGAACUCUCCUGACAACUCAAAGGGGAGAAUCUUAUCCUUGGUAAAGGGGGUUUGGUCAGAUGGUCAAUGGGUCUUGAGGGAAGUACUGGCAGCCCAAGUUAACAUUGAUAAAUGAGAAAUAGAUAAUUAGAUGAUUAGAUAGAUGAUAGAUACAUGAUAGAGUAUGUGCAUGAUAUAUAGAUGCUUACAUGUAUUAUAUGUAAUUUUAGGUAUAUAUAAUAUGAUUCAUUAUGUGUUUGAAACAUCUGCAUUUUUAUUUUUCCCUUCUCCUUUCUUCUCUGCCUGACCAUCCAUGUCUCUUCCAUUAAAGACCCCUUCUUCUUAUUUUCCCAUUUCCUCUUUCUAUCACUUUUAUCCUGCUAUUUCCCUUCUCUAAAGAUCCCCCACCAAAUGCGCUAUGCAGCCCCAUGUGGGGCUAGGACCCACAGUGUAGGAAGUGUGGCUACAGAUGAUUUGAAGGAUGUGGGAGGAUGUGAAUUGGCUAUAUCCAAGUAGCAUGCCUUCUAAAAAGUCCCUGGAGCACCUGAGGACUCCGAUUUCCAUGGGAAAGAAUAUGUGGCUUUUUCUGAAGCCCUGCCAGGCCUGGAUCAGCCUAGGGACAAGGGGGCCUGUGGGUUACUGCACACACUAUCGUGCGCGAUCCUCAUCACAGAGUCUAGUCUGCGUUUGUGAGAGUGCACGUGUGCUGUGGACAAGGACAUGAAGUACCUGUUUCAUCGUUAGAUGUUGAUGCUUAUCGUCCUAUUUCUCUGGAAUCUGGCAUGCGAGACUUUUAAGAUGACCUACUAAGAUAAGUGUCCAAGUGACACGUAUUAAAGACAAAACAUGCAGUCUGACGAAAAGGGCUGAAGAUGAAAAAUGGGGAGUCGCUUUCUUCUCUAUGGUCUCUUGUUUCCCACUUUGAACCCAUAGACUUGAUUUAUCCUUAGGUCAGUUCUCGUUUAUUGUAAUAAACAGUUCUGUGCAUUGCAGUGAGUGAAAGAAGAUAUAAUUUAAAAUUCUUUGCUGGGAAUACCCAGUAAGUGUAUCAGAACACACAAUAAA
RNAcentral lists this small RNA (2959 nucleotides) under Rattus norvegicus (Norway rat). RNAcentral describes it as "uncharacterized LOC108352292". Lineage: Eukaryota; Metazoa; Chordata; Mammalia; Rodentia; Muridae. The record is from RNAcentral.